Molecule: ribosomal RNA, 468 nt
Filed under: uncultured bacterium
Lineage: Bacteria
Description: partial 16S ribosomal RNA
Rfam family: Bacterial small subunit ribosomal RNA
Source: RNAcentral
GACGAACGCUGGCGGCGUGCUUAACACAUGCAAGUCGAACGGAAAGGCCCUGCUUUUGUGGGGUGCUCGAGUGGCGAACGGGUGAGUAACACGUGAGUAACCUGCCCUUGACUUUGGGAUAACUUCAGGAAACUGGGGCUAAUACCGGAUAGGAGCUCCUGCUGCAUGGAGGGGGUUGGAAAGUUUCGGCGGUUGGGGAUGGACUCGCGGCUUAUCAGCUUGUUGGUGGGGUAGUGGCUUACCAAGGCUUUGACGGGUAGCCGGCCUGGGAGGGUGCACGGGCACAUUGGGCCUGCGAUACGCCCCAGACUCCUACGGGAGGCAGCAGUGGGGAAUAUUGCCCAAUGGGCGGAAGCCUGAUGCAGCAACGCCGCGUGCGGGAUGACGGCCUUCGGGUUGUAAACCGCUUUCGCCUGUGACGAAGCGUGAGUGACGGUAAUGGGUAAAGAAGCACCGGCUAACUACGUG